RNAcentral lists this ribosomal RNA (394 nucleotides) under uncultured bacterium. RNAcentral describes it as "bacterial SSU rRNA". It matches the Rfam family "Bacterial small subunit ribosomal RNA", at positions 28 to 416 of the family's 1533-position model. The record is from RNAcentral.
GACGAACGCUGGCGGCGUGCUUAACACAUGCAAGUCGAACGGGAUCCAUGGAGUAGCAAUACUCUGGAAGAUCUAGUGGCGAACGGGUGAGUAACACGUGAGCAACCUGCUCCAAAGACUGGGAUAACCCCGGGAACCGGAGCUAAUACCGGAUGUCCUCAUUAGAUCGCAUGGUCAUAUGAGGAAAUGAAUUUUCGCUUUGGGAGGGGCUCGCGGGCUAUCAGUGUUGGUGGGGUAAUGGCCUACCAAGACAUCGACGGCUAGCUGGUCUGAGAGGACGAUCAGCCACACUGGGACUGAGACACGGCCCAGACUCCUACGGGAGGCAGCAGUGGGGAAUCUUGCCCAAUGGGCGAAAGCCUGAGGCAGCAACGCCGCGUGCGGGAUGACGGCC